GGAGAGAUGGCUGAGUGGUUGAUAGCUCCGGUCUUGAAAACCGGUAUAGUUUGAAAGAACUAUCGAGGGUUCGAAUCCCCCUCUCUCCU
Molecule: transfer RNA, 89 nt
Filed under: Hedysarum polybotrys
Lineage: Eukaryota; Viridiplantae; Streptophyta; Magnoliopsida; Fabales; Fabaceae
Also listed under: 12 other names
Description: tRNA-Ser
Rfam family: tRNA
About the family: Transfer RNA (tRNA) molecules are approximately 80 nucleotides in length. Their secondary structure includes four short double-helical elements and three loops (D, anti-codon, and T loops).
Source: RNAcentral